UACAGGGGGGGGCAAGCGUUGUUCGGAAUUACUGGGCGUAAAGGGCCAGUAGGCGGCCAACUAAGUCCGACGUGAAAUCCCCAGGCUUAACCUGGGAACUGCGUCGGAUACUGGAUGGCUUGAAUUCGGGAGAGGGAUGCGGAAUUCCAGGUGUAGCGGUGAAAUGCGUAGAUAUCUGGAGGAACACCGGUGGCGAAGGCGGCGUUCUGGACUGCAUCUGACACUGAAAGACGAAAGCCAGGGGAGCAAACGGG
This 254-nucleotide ribosomal RNA is filed under the name uncultured bacterium. RNAcentral describes it as "partial 16S ribosomal RNA". It matches the Rfam family "Bacterial small subunit ribosomal RNA", at positions 524 to 776 of the family's 1533-position model. The record is from RNAcentral.